Molecule: ribosomal RNA, 497 nt
Filed under: uncultured bacterium
Lineage: Bacteria
Description: partial 16S ribosomal RNA
Rfam family: Bacterial small subunit ribosomal RNA
Source: RNAcentral
GAUGAACGCUGGCGGCGUGCCUAAUACAUGCAAGUCGAGCGAACGGACGAGAAGCUUGCUUCUCUGAUGUUAGCGGCGGACGGGUGAGUAACACGUGGAUAACCUACCUAUAAGACUGGGAUAACUUCGGGAAACCGGAGCUAAUACCGGAUAAUAUUUUGAACCGCAUGGUUCAAAAGUGAAAGACGGUCUUGCUGUCACUUAUAGAUGGAUCCGCGCUGCAUUAGCUAGUUGGUAAGGUAACGGCUUACCAAGGCAACGAUGCAUAGCCGACCUGAGAGGAUGAUAGGCAACAAUGGAACUGAGACACGGUCCAGACUCAUACGGGAGGCAGAAGUAGGGAAGAGUCAGCAAUGGGCGAAAGCCUGAAGGAGCAACGAAGAGUGAGUGAUGAAGGUAUUCGGAUCGUAAAACUCUGUUAUUAGGGAAGAACAAAUGUGUAAGUAACUAUGCACGUCUUGACGGUACCUAAUCAGAAAGACACGGCUAACUACGUG